RNAcentral lists this ribosomal RNA (542 nucleotides) under Waltiozyma solani. RNAcentral's name for it is "eukaryotic LSU rRNA". It matches the Rfam family "Eukaryotic large subunit ribosomal RNA", at positions 92 to 653 of the family's 3401-position model. Lineage: Eukaryota; Fungi; Ascomycota; Saccharomycetes; Phaffomycetales; Wickerhamomycetaceae. The record is from RNAcentral.
AGUGAGCGGCAAAAGCUCAAAUUUGAAAUCUGGUACCUUCGGUGCCCGAGUUGUAAUUUGAAGAUUGUACUCUGGAGUUGGCCCUUGUCUAUGUUCCUUGGAACAGGACGUCACAGAGGGUGAGAAUCCCGUGCGAUGGGGUGUCCAAUUCCAUGUAGAGUGCUAUCGAAGAGUCGAGUUGUUUGGGAAUGCAGCUCUAAGUGGGUGGUAAAUUCCAUCUAAAGCUAAAUAUUGGCGAGAGACCGAUAGCGAACAAGUACAGUGAUGGAAAGAUGAAAAGAACUUUGAAAAGAGAGUGAAAAAGUACGUGAAAUUGUUGAAAGGGAAGGUUAUUAGAUCAGACUUGGUGUUUGGCGAUAUUCAGUCUCUUGUAGGCUGUUCACUCGUCUUUCACUGGGCCAGCAUCGGUUUGGAUGGCAGGAUAAUGGCUGUUGAACGUGGCUCUUCGGAGUGUUAUAGCUUCAGCUGAUACUGCCUAUCUAGACCGAGGACUGCGGCUUUCGAGCCUAGGAUGCUGGCGUAAUGAUCUAAUAUCGCCCGUC